Pelobates cultripes (western spadefoot toad) is the source of this 395-nucleotide non-coding RNA. NCBI's taxonomy places the organism in Eukaryota, Metazoa, Chordata, Amphibia, Anura, Pelobatidae. The record is from the annotation of a GenBank genome assembly.
CUACAUACGGGGAUACUUUCUAAUAAACUGGUGUCCUAUUCAUAUAAUUGCUGGAAAAGUGCAUUGGGCAUUCCUACCAUGAUUUACACAUGUGCAGUUGGAAGAUCACUUCUCUUGCACCUGUUUUUGUCAAUAGUGGUUUCAAAAGGAGAUUGGUGGGUAAGCGGAAUGAUGUUGGUGGUAGGCAGAAGAAAUUUCUGUUGAGAUGCAUUUUCAACAGUACAUUCUGAUAAGUUUGUAGUAAACCUUUAUAAACUUGGUCAACAUUUUUCUUGCUUUAUUUUGGUUUGUAUAUUUGUUUAAAAGUAUUUGCCAGUUUAAAAAAUUGUCAAGUGGUGCAUGUCCGUUUUAAUGAAAUCAUCUGGGUGCAAGGGGCCCUGUCUGUUUAGUUUUUU